Molecule: non-coding RNA, 532 nt
Filed under: Pan troglodytes (chimpanzee)
Lineage: Eukaryota; Metazoa; Chordata; Mammalia; Primates; Hominidae
Source: RNAcentral
GGGGAGAGGGGAGCGGGGCCGACACAGGACUGCAGUUGACAGCAGAUAACUGAAAGCUCGGAAAGCGAAACCGUGGAUAAGCAGGGGAACUGUGGCAUCCCAUUUAAAAUUGCUUCUGAAGAGAAGCAUGAGGUUACAUCUGUAAUCUCCCUGCAGCAGAGUCAACUGCAUAAGAAACCAAAAGACACACCUGCUCCAUGCCAGCCUAAGCCACCACAUAAAAAGUCAGACCAUCUGCUGGAAGAACCACAUGGAGAGGCCCUGAGUCGACAUGGAGAGGAAGAAGGACUUAACUGAAUCCAGCCUUCCAGCUGUCCCUACCAAGGUGCCAGGCACGAGAAUGAAGCUGUCUUGGACUCUGAAGACCAGCUUAGCCACCAGAUGCCAAACACUGAGCAGGCUUUGUUCUCCACCCACAAACCAGAGGCUGUCUCAGCAGGAAAGAGUUGGAGUUGGAGAAAAAGGAGAAUUAAGAAUCUAUCUGGCGAUGUGGAUUAAAUAAACAACAAAUUGGCAGAUUGUUUUUAAAAGG